Molecule: transfer-messenger RNA, 350 nt
Filed under: Eubacteriales
Lineage: Bacteria; Bacillati; Bacillota; Clostridia
Also listed under: 2 other names
Description: JAAYOS01 sp012520195 Standard tmRNA
Rfam family: transfer-messenger RNA
About the family: Bacterial tmRNA, also known as 10Sa RNA or SsrA, is named for its dual tRNA and mRNA-like properties. Its role is to liberate the mRNA from a stalled ribosome. To accomplish this part of the tmRNA is used as a reading frame that ends in a translation stop signal.
Source: RNAcentral
GGGGGCGUACCGGUUUCGACGGGGAUGCUGAGGCGCGAUAAGCGGGUCGUGGUGCCCACCACGUUAAAAGGGCAACCUUUAUAAAUUAAGCAACGAUAAUAAUCUAGCUUACGCAGCCUAGUUAAAGGCAGCCGUCCGCCCCGGAAGGACCACGGUCCGGGCUCGGGCGUAACUUAGUGGUGAACGUGUCCGUGCUAAGCUUUGCCCACGGUCAUGUAAUUAUGAAGCUACCGAAUCCUUGAGCCGUCCGACGGGCGCUUGGAUGAGGGAAAUCAAAACGUCGGAUGCACCCGGAGAAAGUCGCGAGGACGUGUUUUCGGACGCGGGUUCGACUCCCGCCGCCUCCACCA